GGUAGUCCACGCCGUAAACGAUGUCGACUUGGAGGUUGUGCCCUUGAGGCGCGGCUUCCGGAGCUAACGCGUUAAGUCGACCGCCUGGGGAGUACGGCCGCAAGGUUAAAACUCAAAUGAAUUGACGGGGGCCCGCACAAGCGGUGGAGCAUGUGGUUUAAUUCGAUGCAACGCGAAGAACCUUACCUACUCUUGACAUCCAGAGAACUUAGCAGAGAUGCUUUGGUGCCUUCGGGAACUCUGAGACAGGUGCUGCAUGGCUGUCGUCAGCUCGUGUUGUGAAAUGUUGGGUUAAGUCCCGCAACGAGCGCAACCCUUAUCCUUUGUUGCCAGCGGUUAGGCCGGGAACUCAAAGGAGACUGCCAGUGAUAAACUGGAGGAAGGUGGGGAUGACGUCAAGUCAUCAUGGCCCUUACGAGUAGGGCUACACACGUGCUACAAUGGCGCAUACAAAGAGAAGCGACCUCGCGAGAGCAAGCGGACCUCAUAAAGUGCGUCGUAGUCCGGAUUGGAGUCUGCAACUCGACUCCAUGAAGUCGGAAUCGCUAGUAAUCGUAGAUCAGAAUGCUACGGUGAAUACGUUCCCGGGCCUUGUACACACCGCCCGUCACACCAUGGGAGUGGGUUGCAAAAGAAGUAGGUAGCUUAACCUUCGGGAGGGCGCUUACCACUUUGUGAUUCAUGACUGGGGUGAAGUCGUAACAAGGUAACCGUAGGGGAACCUGC
Molecule: ribosomal RNA, 726 nt
Filed under: uncultured bacterium
Lineage: Bacteria
Description: bacterial SSU rRNA
Rfam family: Bacterial small subunit ribosomal RNA
Source: RNAcentral